RNAcentral lists this ribosomal RNA (648 nucleotides) under Triticum aestivum (bread wheat). Its description in RNAcentral is "partial small subunit ribosomal RNA". The record is from RNAcentral. Lineage: Eukaryota; Viridiplantae; Streptophyta; Magnoliopsida; Poales; Poaceae.
AUGGAUCUGCUCCGGGUGGUGAUGAUGGGCGCAAGCGGGACACCGUAUCAUGACGGCCUCUUCUUCUUCGAUCUGCAGCUACCUCCUUCGUACCCGGAUGCCCCACCACAAGUGUAUUACCACUCCUUCGGCCUACGCCUCAAUCCAAACCUCUACGAGUCUGGUACAGUGUGCCUCAGCCUGCUAAACACAUUCGGUGGCGAGGGCACCGAGGUCUGGUCCUCGACGGAGUCAAGCCUCCUCCAAGUCGUUGUCUCCAUCCAGGGCCUUGUCUUCAAUGACAAACCAUACUACAAUGAGACUGGCUACGAGACAAUGGUCGACAAACCGGAGGGUCGCCGCAAUGCGCUGCCCUACAGUGAGAAUGCUUACCUGCUCACCCUCCGGACCAUGCUACACCUUUUACGUCGGCCACCUCGGGGAUUUGAGGAAUUCGUUAAGGAACACUUCCGCCAUCGGGGAAGGUUUGUGCUCGGGGCAUGCAAUGCGUGGCUGCAGGGAAAUAUUGUCGACAAUGCUCAUGCCACUGAAGUGAGUAGGAAGCAGCCGUGCUCGGCUGGGUUAAGGCUUGCACUCACCAAGGUAGUGCCAAGCCUCGUGGCAGCCUUCACAGAGAUCCGAGCCAAGGGGUGCGAAGAGUACCAGUAG